This 497-nucleotide ribosomal RNA is filed under the name uncultured bacterium. RNAcentral describes it as "partial 16S ribosomal RNA". It matches the Rfam family "Bacterial small subunit ribosomal RNA", at positions 28 to 507 of the family's 1533-position model. The record is from RNAcentral.
GAUGAACGCUGGCGGCGUGCCUAAUACAUGCAAGUCGAGCGAACAGACGAGGAUUUUGCUCCUCUUACGUUAGCGGCGGACGGGUGAGUAACACGUGGAUAACCUACCUAUAAGACUGGGAUAACGUCGGGAAACCGGAGCUAAGACCGGAUAAUAUAUUGAACCGCAUGGUUCAUUAGUGAAAGACGGUUUUGCUGUCACUUAUAGAUGGAUCCGCGCCGCAUUAGGUAGUUGGUAAGGUAACGGCUUACCAAGGCAACGAUGCGUAGACGAGCUGAGAGGGUGAUCGCCGACACGGGAACUGAGACACGGUCCAGACUCCUACGGGAGGGAGCAGUGGGGAAUCUUCCGCAAUGGGCGAAAGCCUGACGGAGCAACGCCGCGUGAGUGAUGAAGGUCUUCGGAUCGUAAAACUCUGUUAUUAGGGAAGAACAAAUGUGUAAGUAGCUAUGCACGUCUUGACGGUACCUAAACAGAAAGCCACGGCUAACUACGUG